UGUAAAAUGAAGCAAUCAUUUUGGAGGAUACUGGAUCUCCAUCAAAAUGCAUCUUCAGGAAAGCUCGAUUAUUUGAGGAUCCAUCCAUGCAGCAAUACAGAGAUCCUCCUGGAUGGCCAUUUCAUCCAGAAUGAUGCCUCCAUAAUAUCCUGAUGUGGGUACGUUUUGGCGGAAAGCUUCAUUUUUCAUCCAUGUCAUCAUGUCAGGUAAAAUUCCAGGGCCCUGUUUCACACAAUUUUUGUAAAGACCAACCAGAGAUUCUGAAGGAAGUUGAAGCCAUUUCUGCUGUACAAUUUCUCUGUAAACACCCGGAUUCCUAUUGUAUAUGCUUAUUGACAUGCUAAUGAUAUCUUUAUCCCAACGCAUACCCUUUUUACUCGUGUUUGAUGCUUUGAUUUGCGAUUCCAUUAAUUUUAUUUGUUUCUCAGAUAGAUUAGGAGCUAGCAUUUUCAACUUAGAAUAAGUUUCAUCUAGUGAUUUAUCAGUAUCAGGACUAACAUUUUCUUUGUCUUGAUCAAGUUUUCUUUUUGUUGAAGAAAAGCAUGCUCUACAUUUCAAGCAUGCAGUUGAUGAGAGAUAUACCCCUCUAGUGCAAACUUUGGAACGAAGUGCAAAGUAGGAUUUUUCCUCAAGUGUGAUAAGUUCUCGGGAAGUUUUUGAAUUUAAUAACAUUUGACCAGUUUUAAUUUCAUCAUGAGUAUAACCUAGACAUGGUUGUAUGACUUUAAAACACCUGAAGAGGGCUGGUACUGAUGUGUAUGUGUAAAGAAUGUGAUGAGGAAUUCCAUACUGUUUCAAAUCAAGUGUCUGAUUGGCUAUUGCUGCUGACACAGACCCAUCACUACCUAGGGAAACCUGAAGUAUAAUACCCUGUCCAUUACUUUUUGCUGGUAGUAAAUGUCCCAAGGAUAUUUCUGUAGUGGUUUUGUGCAUGAUAAACCAAUCAACUGGCACAUUAUUUUGAAUAUCAGAGAAACUAAGUGCUGUAGAAUUGAUUUUGUCAUUGAUUUCCAUUCUGAAACUGACUUUCAUAUUUUUGUCCUCACAUCUCAGUCUGACUUUUGAUUUCACAAUAUUUGGAAAAAGUGUAGGCAACAAAAGUGUUAGAGUCUUUGUGCUAAUUUUUUCAUCUUCUCCACAAGAUUGAUUUAUUUUCUCAAUUAAUUCUUGAACUGGUGUAUUAUGCUGCUCAGAUAAUAGAAUGUGUUCUGAGAGCCUAAAAGGCAAUGUAAAAAUUGAGUUUAAAAUAUUUGUAUCUCAAAGUACAUUUAAAAUAUUUUACUUUGAAAUUUGUGUAUCACAAUUACAUGCAGACAAGGCUGAUUUUUACUCAAUUUGUAAACAAUUCUAGACAUUUAUAAAGGCAAAGAUAAAUUGAAUGAACAUGUUAUUUACCAUGUUUAUAGGUUAUUUACAUAUAUUUACUCAACUGAAAUAAUAAACAGUGAUUUCUA
This is a long non-coding RNA of Saccostrea cuccullata (small rock oyster), 1454 nucleotides long. RefSeq lists it as uncharacterized. The record is from RefSeq and is a predicted model, not a curated record. Lineage: Eukaryota; Metazoa; Mollusca; Bivalvia; Ostreida; Ostreidae. The transcript is spliced from 2 exons.